AGGCUAGGAUGACCGAUUACAUUUCUCAAUUCUAAUUUGGAUAUUGUGUAAAGGACUAAUUCCACAGCAAAAUUGUUUGCUUUGUAAUGAUUGUGUUUGUGUGUGUCUAAGCCUC
Prosopis cineraria is the source of this 115-nucleotide small nucleolar RNA. RefSeq annotates it as small nucleolar RNA snoR126. Lineage: Eukaryota; Viridiplantae; Streptophyta; Magnoliopsida; Fabales; Fabaceae. The transcript has a single exon. The record is from RefSeq and is a predicted model, not a curated record.